This is a non-coding RNA of Methylobacter tundripaludum SV96, 118 nucleotides long. The record is from Rfam. Lineage: Bacteria; Pseudomonadati; Pseudomonadota; Gammaproteobacteria; Methylococcales; Methylococcaceae.
GAGAGUAGGCCUCUCGAUUUCGGCGACCAGCCGCUGGAAUCAAACCACCCUGUGCGGCAUAGGUUAAAAGCCUUUGUCGUGAGCGACAGGGAAAAAGGCGGUCAUUGAGCCGUCAGGU